GCCCGGCUAGCUCAAUCGGUAGAGCGGUGAGUUCAAUUCAUACAAACUAUCCACCUUCAAAAUACUGAUAAUUUCUCAGUGAGACUCUUAUACGAGAGGACACAUCUCAAGGUUGUGGGUUCGACCCCCACGUCGGGCU
This is a non-coding RNA of Knufia peltigerae, 139 nucleotides long. NCBI's taxonomy places the organism in Eukaryota, Fungi, Ascomycota, Eurotiomycetes, Chaetothyriales, Trichomeriaceae. The record is from the annotation of a GenBank genome assembly.